UACGUAGGGACCAAGCGUUGUUCGGAUUUACUGGGCGUAAAGGGCGCGUAGGCGGCGUGACAAGUCAGUUGUGAAAUCUCCGAGCUUAACUCGGAACGGUCAACUGAUACUGUUGUGCUAGAGUACAGAAGGGGCAAUCGGAAUUCUUGGUGUAGCGGUGAAAUGCGUAGAUAUCAAGAGGAACACCUGAGGUGAAGACGGGUUGCUGGGCUGAUACUGACGCUGAGGCUCGCAAGCAAGAGUAGCGAA
Molecule: ribosomal RNA, 249 nt
Filed under: uncultured bacterium
Lineage: Bacteria
Description: partial 16S ribosomal RNA
Rfam family: Bacterial small subunit ribosomal RNA
Source: RNAcentral